CCUACGGGCGGCAGCAGUGGGGAAUAUUGCACAAUGGGCGCAAGCCUGAUGCAGCCAUGCCGCGUGUGUGAAGAAGGCCUUCGGGUUGUAAAGCACUUUCAGCGGGGAGGAAGGCGUUAAGGUUAAUAACCUUGGCGAUUGACGUUACCCGCAGAAGAAGCACCGGCUAACUCCGUGCCAGCAGCCGCGGUAAUACGGAGGGUGCAAGCGUUAAUCGGAAUUACUGGGCGUAAAGCGCACGCAGGCGGUCUGUCAAGUCGGAUGUGAAAUCCCCGGGCUCAACCUGGGAACUGCAUUCGAAACUGGCAGGCUAGAGUCUUGUAGAGGGGGGUAGAAUUCCAGGUGUAGCGGUGAAAUGCGUAGAGAUCUGGAGGAAUACCGGUGGCGAAGGCGGCCCCCUGGACAAAGACUGACGCUCAGGUGCGAAAGCGUGGGGAGCAAACAGGAUAGAUACCCCUGUAGUC
RNAcentral lists this ribosomal RNA (464 nucleotides) under uncultured Klebsiella sp. Its description in RNAcentral is "bacterial SSU rRNA". It matches the Rfam family "Bacterial small subunit ribosomal RNA", at positions 338 to 795 of the family's 1533-position model. The record is from RNAcentral. Lineage: Bacteria; Pseudomonadati; Pseudomonadota; Gammaproteobacteria; Enterobacterales; Enterobacteriaceae.